RNAcentral lists this long non-coding RNA (302 nucleotides) under Solanum lycopersicum (tomato). RNAcentral's name for it is "partial TCONS_00149193". The record is from RNAcentral. Lineage: Eukaryota; Viridiplantae; Streptophyta; Magnoliopsida; Solanales; Solanaceae.
AACUAAUGUUUGAUAUUUUAGCUGGGGAAUGAAAUUUGUUAAUAUUUUACUUAUGUAUUUUUAAUUAUUAUGUUAUUCAUGUUGAAGUAUUUAAAUUUUCGUUGUUAAUUUUGUUUCUUCCUUCUUUUGAUGUAUUUUAUUUUAAUGAAAAUUAAUAGAAAUCCCCAGUUGUCAGUUGGAUUCAAGAUGAGUAAUGGAGAUGUAUGCCUUCUUGAUAGUGCUACAACGCAUACAAUAUUAAAAGAAAAAAACUACUUUUCUAAUUUGGUUAUGAAAAUGGCAUAUGUCAACACAAUAUCAGG